CUAUUUAGAAAAGUAAAGUAACUAAGAUUGAGACAUAGAGAGAAGAUUAGUACGUUCCGUGCGCAAGGAAGUCAUCCAAAAUCGAGAAGCUUUCCGAUUAUUU
RNAcentral lists this small nuclear RNA (103 nucleotides) under Rhodnius prolixus. The record is from RNAcentral. Lineage: Eukaryota; Metazoa; Arthropoda; Insecta; Hemiptera; Reduviidae.